AUAUCAAUAAGCGGAGGAAAAGAAACCAACAGGGAUUGCCCCAGUAACGGCGAGUGAAGCGGCAAGAGCUCAAAUUUGAAAUCUGGUCUCCCCCGGGGGCCCGAGUUGUAAUUUGCAGAGGAUGCUUCGGGUGCGGCCGCCGUCUAAGUUCCUUGGAACAGGACGUCAGAGAGGGUGAGAAUCCCGUCUUGGGCGGGCGGUCCGCGCCCGUGUGAAGCUCCUUCGACGAGUCGAGUUGUUUGGGAAUGCAGCUCUAAGCGGGUGGUAAAUUUCAUCUAAAGCUAAAUAUUGGCCGGAGACCGAUAGCGCACAAGUAGAGUGAUCGAAAGGUUAAAAGCACCUUGAAAAGGGAGUUAAACAGCACGUGAAAUUGUUGAAAGGGAAGCGCUUGCGGCCAGAUUCGGGGGCGGGGUUCAGCGGGUGCUCGUCGCCCGUGUAUUCCUCGUCUCCCGGGCCAGCAUCAGUUUCGACGGCCGGUCAAAGGCCCCCGGAAUGUGUCGUCUCUCGGGACGUCUUAUAGCCGGGGGUGCAAUGCGGCCCGUCGGGACUGAGGAACGCGCUCCGGCUCGGAUGCUGGCGUAAUGGCCGUAAGCGGC
This 596-nucleotide ribosomal RNA is filed under the name Trichophyton cf. mentagrophytes ATCC 60612. Its description in RNAcentral is "eukaryotic LSU rRNA". It matches the Rfam family "Eukaryotic large subunit ribosomal RNA", at positions 40 to 648 of the family's 3401-position model. The record is from RNAcentral. Lineage: Eukaryota; Fungi; Ascomycota; Eurotiomycetes; Onygenales; Arthrodermataceae.